ACGAACGCUGGCGGCGUGCUUAACACAUGCAAGUCGUACGGUAAGGCCCUUUCGGGGGUACACGAGUGGCGAACGGGUGAGUAACACGUGAGUAACCUGCCCACAACUUUGGGAUAACGCUAGGAAACUGGUGCUAAUACUGGAUAUGUGCUCCUGCUGCAUGGUGGGGGUUGGAAAGCUCCGGCGGUUGUGGAUGGACUCGCGGCCUAUCAGCUUGUUGGUGGGGUAGUGGCCUACCAAGGCGGCGACGGGUAGCCGGCCUGAGAGGGUGACCGGCCACAUUGGGACUGAGAUACGGCCCAGACUCCUACGGGAGGCAGCAGUGGGGAAUAUUGCACAAUGGGCGCAAGCCUGAUGCAGCAACGCCGCGUGCGGGAUGACGGCCUUCGGGUUGUAAACCGCUUUCAACAGGGACGAAGCUUUUUGUGACGGUACCUGCAGAAGAAGCACCGGCUAACUACGUG
This 464-nucleotide ribosomal RNA is filed under the name uncultured bacterium. RNAcentral's name for it is "partial 16S ribosomal RNA". It matches the Rfam family "Bacterial small subunit ribosomal RNA", at positions 29 to 507 of the family's 1533-position model. The record is from RNAcentral.